This 76-nucleotide transfer RNA is filed under the name Nitrospira sp. RNAcentral's name for it is "tRNA-Ala". It matches the Rfam family "tRNA". From Rfam's summary of the family: Transfer RNA (tRNA) molecules are approximately 80 nucleotides in length. Their secondary structure includes four short double-helical elements and three loops (D, anti-codon, and T loops). Further hydrogen bonds mediate the characteristic L-shaped molecular structure. tRNAs have two regions of fundamental functional importance: the anti-codon, which is responsible for specific mRNA codon recognition, and the 3' end, to which the tRNAs corresponding amino acid is attached (by aminoacyl-tRNA synthetases). tRNAs cope with the degeneracy of the genetic code in two manners: having more than one tRNA (with a specific anti-codon) for a particular amino acid; and 'wobble' base-pairing, i.e. permitting non-standard base-pairing at the 3rd anti-codon position. The record is from RNAcentral. Lineage: Bacteria; Pseudomonadati; Nitrospirota; Nitrospiria; Nitrospirales; Nitrospiraceae. RNAcentral also lists the same sequence under 20 other names.
GGGGCCAUAGCUCAGCUGGGAGAGCGCCUGCUUUGCACGCAGGAGGUCGGCGGUUCGAUCCCGCCUGGCUCCACCA